Molecule: unclassified non-coding RNA, 329 nt
Filed under: soil metagenome
Description: partial contains 5.8S ribosomal RNA, internal transcribed spacer 2, and large subunit ribosomal RNA
Rfam family: 5.8S ribosomal RNA (bases 1-120)
Source: RNAcentral
GAUGAAGAACGCAGCGAAAUGCGAUAAGUAGUGUGAAUUGCAGAAUUCAGUGAAUCAUCGAAUCUUUGAACGCACAUUGCGCCCCUUGGUAUUCCAUGGGGCAUGCCUGUUCGAGCGUCAUUUGUACCCUCAAGCUUUGCUUGGUGUUGGGCGUCUUGUCGUAUUACGACUCGCCUUAAAUACAUUGGCAGCCGGCACUUUGGCCUAGGAGCGCAGCACAUUUUGCGAUCGUAGCCCGUUGUACUGGCGUCCAUCAAGAACAUUUACCACGUUUGACCUCGGAUCAGGUAGGGAUACCCGCUGAACUUAAGCAUAUCAAUAGCGGAGGA